Molecule: small RNA, 120 nt
Filed under: Mesorhizobium sp. LSHC420B00
Lineage: Bacteria; Pseudomonadati; Pseudomonadota; Alphaproteobacteria; Hyphomicrobiales; Phyllobacteriaceae
Description: Rhizobiales sRNA Atu_C8
Rfam family: Rhizobiales sRNA Atu_C8
Source: Rfam by way of RNAcentral
GAAGAUCGCAAUGGUUCUUGCAGUGGUAGGAAAGCGCACGGGCAGGAUGGUGUAACCAUCCGGCGACAGCCACUCGUGCGCGACAAACAGGCUCCCGACGGGGCCUUUUUUAUGCCCGAA